GUGGUUGAUGGUGAUAUUGUUUGU
This 24-nucleotide non-coding RNA is filed under the name Arabidopsis thaliana (thale cress). Lineage: Eukaryota; Viridiplantae; Streptophyta; Magnoliopsida; Brassicales; Brassicaceae. The record is from RNAcentral.